GACGAACGCUGGCGGCGUGCUUAACACAUGCAAGUCGAACGGUAAGGCCCUUCGGGGUACACGAGUGGCGAACGGGUGAGUAACACGUGGGUAAUCUGCCCUGCACUUCGGGAUAAGCCUGGGAAACUGGGUCUAAUACCGGAUAUUCAGUUCCUGCCGCAUGGUGGGGGUUGGAAAGUUUUUCGGUGCAGGAUGAGCCCGCGGCCUAUCAGCUUGUUGGUGGGGUAAUGGCCUACCAAGGCGACGACGGGUAGCCGGCCUGAGAGGGUGAUCGGCCACACUGGGACUGAGACACGGCCCAGACUCCUACGGGAGGCAGCAGUGGGGAAUAUUGCACAAUGGGCGAAAGCCUGAUGCAGCGACGCCGCGUGAGGGAUGACGGUCUUCGGAUUGUAAACCCCUUUCAGUAGGGACGAAGCGCAAGUGACGGUACCUGCAGAAGAAGCACCGGCCAACUACGUG
This 462-nucleotide ribosomal RNA is filed under the name uncultured bacterium. RNAcentral describes it as "partial 16S ribosomal RNA". It matches the Rfam family "Bacterial small subunit ribosomal RNA", at positions 28 to 507 of the family's 1533-position model. The record is from RNAcentral.